RNAcentral lists this unclassified non-coding RNA (142 nucleotides) under uncultured Teratosphaeriaceae. Its description in RNAcentral is "sequence contains ITS2". The record is from RNAcentral. Lineage: Eukaryota; Fungi; Ascomycota; Dothideomycetes; Mycosphaerellales; Teratosphaeriaceae.
ACACCCAUCAAGCCUGGCUUGGUCUUGGGCAGCGGGACGUCCCCGCGCCCCGAUUUCGCCGGCUGGACGACCCCGAUCUCUCAAGCGUUGUACAAUCUCGCUGGCGAGACGGGCGGCCACGCCGUUAACCGCAAUCAAUUCA